GCUUAACCUGAUGUUUAGUAUUUUGUGUAUAAACUGAUUUUUGGUAUUUGUGUUUGUAGAAAUCAGUUUAAGGGAGGGUAUGUUGAUAGUUGUAUAUGUGUGUUUGGGCUUAGCUUGCAUUGGGCCUAGUAUGUGUCAAGCCCAUUUGUGUUGCUUGUGUGCCAAGCUAUAUAAGCCAAACUUUGUAAUCACUUGUAAUCACUUUUUGCUAAUCAAUGAGAAACAAUAGAGUUG
Molecule: long non-coding RNA, 234 nt
Filed under: Trifolium pratense (red clover)
Lineage: Eukaryota; Viridiplantae; Streptophyta; Magnoliopsida; Fabales; Fabaceae
Description: long non-coding RNA (TPRA_LNC013037)
Source: RNAcentral